This 397-nucleotide long non-coding RNA is filed under the name Olea europaea subsp. europaea. The record is from RNAcentral. Lineage: Eukaryota; Viridiplantae; Streptophyta; Magnoliopsida; Lamiales; Oleaceae.
UACCUUUCAAUUUGCUGUAAUCUCUUUGUCCUCCAAGAAACCCAUCGGUCGAGAUGAACAGCGACCCAACAUUGUUGAGAAACACCACAACUAUGGUGAACACCGCCAAAAUCCACAGAAAUUAAUGUUUAGAAAACGUACGCCCAUCAAUAACAACCUCCGAAGGCCUAAAUGCGUGGAAGCAAAAAAAAGAAGAAGAUAUUUUGAAGUUCAAUAAUGUCCAUUAAUCAGGAGCUUUUCUUGGACUAAUAGAAAAUGAAAAGGGAUGGUAAUAAAAGUAGCAGAACAAGGUAAGGUGAGGAUGGCUUUAUGAGAUUCGAAGAUAUUUACUGAUGAACAGUACGAAACCAGCUUGUAAACAAUGAUUAUCCAGUUAAGGUGUGAAAUCGAGUGCUAC